RNAcentral lists this ribosomal RNA (1485 nucleotides) under Pseudonocardia alni subsp. carboxydivorans. RNAcentral's name for it is "bacterial SSU rRNA". It matches the Rfam family "Bacterial small subunit ribosomal RNA". The record is from RNAcentral. Lineage: Bacteria; Bacillati; Actinomycetota; Actinomycetes; Pseudonocardiales; Pseudonocardiaceae.
AGAGUUUGAUCCUGGCUCAGGACGAACGCUGGUGGCGUGCUUAACACAUGCAAGUCGAGCGGUAAGGCCCUUUCGGGGGUACACGAGCGGCGAACGGGUGAGUAACACGUGGGUGACCUGCCCUCCACUCUGGGAUAAGCCCGGGAAACUGGGUCUAAUACCGGAUAGGACCACUGAUCGCAUGGUUGGUGGUGGAAAGUUUUUUCGGUGGGGGAUGGGCCCGCGGCCUAUCAGCUUGUUGGUGGGGUGAUGGCCUACCAAGGCGGUGACGGGUAGCCGGCCUGAGAGGGCGACCGGCCACACUGGGACUGAGACACGGCCGAGACUCCUACGGGAGGCAAGCAGUGGGGAAUAUUGCGCAAUGGGCGGAAGCCUGACGCAGCGACGCCGCGUGGGGGAUGACGGCCUUCGGGUUGUAAACCUCUUUCGCCAGGGACGAAGAGCAAUUGACGGUACCUGGAGAAGAAGCACCGGCCAACUACGUGCCAGCAGCCGCGGUAACACGUAGGGUGCGAGCGUUAUCCGGAAUUAUUGGGCGUAAAGAGCUCGUAGGCGGUGUGUCGCGUCGGCCGUGAAAACUUGGGGCUUAACUCUGAGCGUGCGGUCGAUACGGGCAUCACUUGAGUUCGGCAGGGGAGACUGGAAUUCCUGGUGUAGCGGUGAAAUGCGCAGAUAUCAGGAGGAACACCGGUGGCGAAGGCGGGUCUCUGGGCCGAUACUGACGCUGAGGAGCGAAAGCGUGGGGGAGCGAACAGGAUUAGAUACCCUGGUAGUCCACGCCGUAAACGUUGGGCGCUAGGUGUGGGGACCAUUCCACGGUUUCUGUGCCGCAGCUAACGCAUUAAGCGCCCCGCCUGGGGAGUACGGCCGCAAGGCUAAAACUCAAAGGAAUUGACGGGGGCCCGCACAAGCGGCGGAGCAUGGUGGAUUAAUUCGAUGCGACGCGAAGAACCUUACCUGGGUUUGACAUGCACCAGACAUCCCUAGAGAUAGGGCUUCCCUUGUGGUUGGUGUGCAGGUGGUGCAUGGCUGUCGUCAGCUCGUGUCGUGAGAUGUUGGGUUAAGUCCCGCAACGAGCGCAACCCUUGUUCCAUGUUGCCAGCACGUAAUGGUGGGRACUCAUGGGAGACUGCCGGGGUCAACUCGGAGGAAGGUGGGGAUGACGUCAAGUCAUCAUGCCCCUUAUGUCCAGGGCUUCACACAUGCUACAAUGGCUCAUACAGAGGGCUGCGAGACCGUGAGGUGGAGCGAAUCCCUUAAAGUGAGUCUCAGUUCGGAUCGGGGUCUGCAACUCGACCCCGUGAAGUUGGAGUCGCUAGUAAUCGCAGAUCAGCAACGCUGCGGUGAAUACGUUCCCGGGCCUUGUACACACCGCCCGUCACGUCACGAAAGUUGGUAACACCCGAAGCCGGCGGCCCAACCCUUGUGGAGGGAGCUGUCGAAGGUGGGACUGGCGAUUGGGACGAAGUCGUAACAAGGUAGCCG